UGGGAAGGCUUAGACAGCUAGGAGGUUGGCUUAGAAGCAGCCACCCUUUAAAGAAAGCGUAAUAGCUCACUAGUCGAGUCGGCCUGCGCGGAAGAUUUAACGGGGCUAAAUUGGUAACCGAAGCUGCGGAUGCGUGCUUGCACGCAUGGUAGAGGAGCGUUCUGUAAGCCGUUGAAGGUGAACCGGGAGGUUUGCUGGAGGUAUCAGAAGUGCGAAUGCUGACAUGAGUAACGACAAGGGGGGUGAAAAACCCCCCCGCCGGAAGAUCAAGGUUUCCUACGCAACGCUAAUCGGCGUAGGGUGAGUCGGCCCCUAAGGCGAGGCAGAAAUGCGUAGUCGAUGGGAAGCGGGUCAAUAUUCCCGCACUUUUAAUUACUGCGAUGGAGGGACGGAGAAGGCUAGGCCAUCAGGGCGUUGGUUGUCCCUGUUUAAGGUAGUAGGCUGAAAUCUUAGGUAAAUCCGGGAUUUCCUCUUUAUUGAGAAGGCUGAGAACCGAUGACGAGUGUCUUCGGACACGAAGUGGUUGAUGCCAUGCUUCCAAGAAAAGCUUCUAAGCUUCAGGUAAUUAAGAACCGUACUGUAAACCGACACAGG
Molecule: ribosomal RNA, 594 nt
Filed under: Minutocellus polymorphus
Lineage: Eukaryota; Bacillariophyta; Thalassiosirophyceae; Cymatosirales; Cymatosiraceae
Description: partial Bacterial large subunit ribosomal RNA
Rfam family: Bacterial large subunit ribosomal RNA
Source: RNAcentral